GUCGGCGUGGCGAAAUUGGCAGACGCAAGGGACUUAAAAUCCCUCGAUAGCAAUAUCAUACCGGUUCGAGCCCGGUCGCCGGCACCA
This 87-nucleotide transfer RNA is filed under the name Clostridia bacterium. RNAcentral's name for it is "tRNA-Leu". It matches the Rfam family "tRNA". From Rfam's summary of the family: Transfer RNA (tRNA) molecules are approximately 80 nucleotides in length. The record is from RNAcentral. Lineage: Bacteria; Bacillati; Bacillota; Clostridia.